AACGAGGCCGACCUGCGGCUGAGUUACCUGCGGAGGGAUCAUUACCAAAAAUUAUAAAAACCGCAAGGUUUUUUUUAUAUUUAAACCCGAUUGUGAACCAAAGACUUGUUAUAGCUUCGGUAGCUGGUAAAAAACCAAAUCUUUUGGUUUUUUUUUCCGUCAGUCUACCGGUAGCAAUCAAAUUUGAACUUUGAACCAGAAUGUAUUGUUGCACUAGUCUGAACAUUAAAGAACCGCAAG
Molecule: unclassified non-coding RNA, 240 nt
Filed under: soil metagenome
Description: partial contains 5.8S ribosomal RNA, internal transcribed spacer 2, and large subunit ribosomal RNA
Source: RNAcentral